CCUACGGGUGGCAGCAGUGAGGAAUAUUGGUCAAUGGACGAGAGUCUGAACCAGCCAAGUAGCGUGAAGGAUGACUGCCCUAUGGGUUGUACACUUCUUUUAUAAAGGAAUAAAACGAGGCACGUGUGCCUUUUUGUAUGUACCUUAUGAAUAAGGAUCGGCUAACUCCGUGCCAGCAGCCGCGGUAAUACGGAGGAUCCGAGCGUUAUCCGGAUUUAUUGGGUUUAAAGGGAGCGUAGAUGGAUUGUUAAGUCAGUUGUGAAAGUUUGCGGCUCAACCGUAAAAUUGCAAUUGAAACUGGCAGGCUUGAGUACAGUUGAGGUAGGCGGAAUUCGUGGUGUAGCGGUGAAAUGCUUAGAUAUCACGAAGAACCCCGAUGGCGAAGGCAGUUUACUGAACUGUGACUGACAUUGAUGCUCGAAAGUGUGGGUAUCAAACAGGAUUAGAUACCCCGGUAGUC
Molecule: ribosomal RNA, 460 nt
Filed under: uncultured bacterium
Lineage: Bacteria
Description: partial 16S ribosomal RNA
Rfam family: Bacterial small subunit ribosomal RNA
Source: RNAcentral